ACCGGCGCACGGGUGAGUAACACGUAUCCAACCUGCCCUUUACUCGGGGAUAGCCUUUCGAAAGAAAGAUUAAUACCCGAUAGCAUAAUGAUUCCGCAUGGUUUCAUUAUUAAAGGAUUCCGGUAAAGGAUGGGGAUGCGUUCCAUUAGGUUGUUGGUGGGGUAACGGCCCACCAAGCCUUCGAUGGAUAGGGGUUCUGAGAGGAAGGUCCCCCACAUUGGAACUGAGACACGGUCCAAACUCCUACGGGAGGCAGCAGUGAGGAAUAUUGGUCAAUGGGCGCUAGCCUGAACCAGCCAAGUAGCGUGAAGGAUGAAGGCUCUAUGGGUCGUAAACUUCUUUUAUAUAAGAAUAAAGUGCAGUAUGUAUACUGUUUUGUAUGUAUUAUAUGAAUAAGGAUCGGCUAACUCCGUGCCAGCAGCCGCGGUAAUACGGAGGAUCCGAGCGUUAUCCGGAUUUAUUGGGUUUAAAGGGAGCGUAGGUGGACUGGUAAGUCAGUUGUGAAAGUUUGCGGCUCAACCGUAAAAUUGCAGUUGAUACUGUCAGUCUUGAGUACAGUAGAGGUGGGCGGAAUUCGUGGUGUAGCGGUGAAAUGCUUAGAUAUCACGAAGAA
Molecule: ribosomal RNA, 613 nt
Filed under: uncultured Bacteroidales bacterium
Lineage: Bacteria; Pseudomonadati; Bacteroidota; Bacteroidia; Bacteroidales
Description: bacterial SSU rRNA
Rfam family: Bacterial small subunit ribosomal RNA
Source: RNAcentral